CCGUGUUCGUGAACGUCUCCAAAGGCCAGGUCGCUAAGAAGGAAGACCUCAUCAGUGCUUUCGGCACCGACGAUCAAACAGAAAUCUGCAAGCAGAUUUUGACUAAAGGAGAGGUUCAGGUAUCUGA
This is a non-coding RNA of Ictidomys tridecemlineatus (thirteen-lined ground squirrel), 127 nucleotides long. NCBI's taxonomy places the organism in Eukaryota, Metazoa, Chordata, Mammalia, Rodentia, Sciuridae. The record is from RefSeq and is a predicted model, not a curated record.